Molecule: small RNA, 592 nt
Filed under: Pongo abelii (Sumatran orangutan)
Lineage: Eukaryota; Metazoa; Chordata; Mammalia; Primates; Hominidae
Description: retained intron
Source: RNAcentral
GCCAGUACGAAAUAUGAGUACGGUGUGUUUCUGAGAGAGUGUCAUGUUCAUCUCUGUAGCAUAUGGAAACUUUUUCUUUUUUUCUUUUUCUUCCAGAGUAGCACAGAAGAGGGAGGAUGCUGUUUCCAAAGAAGUGACUCGAAAACUUUCUGAAGCUGAUAAUAGAAAGAUGUCUCGGAAGGAGAAAGAUGAAAGAAUCUUGUGGAAGAAGAAUGAAGUUGCUGAUUAUGAAGCUACAACAUUUUCCAUCUUCUAUAACAACACUCUGUUCCUGGUCGUGGUCAUUGUUGCUUCCUUCUUCAUAUUGAAGAACUUCAACCCCACAGUGAACUACAUUUUGUCCAUAAGUGCUUCAUCAGGACUCAUCGCCCUCCUGUCUACUGGCUCCAAAUAGACCAUGUUAGCUUCACCCCCUGGCUGUGUGUCUAUGGGUGGCCUGUGGUAUAUGGAAAAGUAGCAGGGUGGUCAGGGUGGGAGACACAAGAUGUUUUUAUAGUCUAGAGCCUUUAAAAAACCCAGCAGAAUGUAAUUCAGUAUUCGUUUAUUGGCUGUUUUUGACAGAUUGUUGAAAUUAAAUGAGUUGAAAGGGAAA